UUAAUUAAUGCAUUGUUUUGAAUGUUACUCCCUAUAUAAACAUAAAUUUCAUAACUCUUUUACAUCAUCAUUAAUAAUGAUGAUGAAAAUAAAAAUUAUUAUUAUUGAAAUGGAUCUUAAAAAAAAACAAGAAAAAAAUGAGAAUAAUUAAUUUAUAAAUAAAAUAUAGAGUAUUUGUUUGAGCCAGCGACUUCUGGAUCCACCGUGGUUGAUUUUCAACCAGUCCAACUUGAAAGAAUCUUGCUUGGGAGGGAGGAAUUAGGCUAGAUCUGGAUCGGAGGGGUUAGAUCCGAAUUUAACGGAUUGCUAGGUCCGGAUCUGUCAACGUGGAGCCAGUGUGUCGGAGAGUUGUGUAUUCUGGGAGGUUUGUAGCGGGUUUGGCAGUUCGCUAGAGUUGAGGCCUCGUCGGAAACCGGAUUUUUUCGGUAGGCGCUUCCAUCACAAAGUCGUGGACCUUGAAUCUACCGGAGUUAGUGCUUGGACUCUCUGCUAUCGAUCUAUCAAGUUGAUGCGGUGAAUUGGAGAAGAGUAAGAAGAUCUGGAGUUCGUGUCGUGUUUUGAUAACUCUGUGGAGAUUAUUCUGAUCUAAUUCAACUGAAGAAGAUAUCAAAGUGGCCAAGUUUGUCUAAUUGAAGUCUUCCGGCGAAAUCAGCAAAAGGCAAAUUUGUGCAAGAAAGAUAAUUAAUAGCGAGGUUGCAUGUAUCAUUUUAAACAAGAGAUCCCGACCACAAAGCGAAGAUCUGAUGAAAGCUCAUCGAAAAAGUAUGAGCAAAGGUGGUGAUGACGUACGGUGAAACCAACUACUAAUGGAGGAGUUACCACGUUUGCUUACACGUGUUUUUCUUUUACAUAACUUAUUCUGUUGUAUGCAAAUUGUGGGCUUUAAGCCUUAAUUGCACUUGUAAACUGUCAUAUGGGCUUGUUUUAAUGAAAGAAGUCGACAAAAAAAAAAUGCGAUCUCUAAGACCGUUAAUGGAAGAGAAGAUGGAAGUGGAAGUGACUACAACAAACAAAGGAGCAAACCUUAUUGCUCAAAGUGUUAGUGGAGAUAUGAGAUGUCAAUCUUAUGUUGCUAUUGGACAACCUAAUUGGCUUCAUAGAAUUUCAAUGAAGAGGAGGGGUUUGUCCUCCGAUUGAUUGGAUAGUCGGUUAAUUUUUUGAGUUCAUGUCAAAUAAUUGUUUGAAGUUAGAUUCAUGUGU
Capsella rubella is the source of this 1200-nucleotide long non-coding RNA. RefSeq lists it as uncharacterized. The record is from RefSeq and is a predicted model, not a curated record. The transcript has 2 exons. Lineage: Eukaryota; Viridiplantae; Streptophyta; Magnoliopsida; Brassicales; Brassicaceae.